AUGACCAGUUCAAUGUCCAUUCUACUCCCACUCUAUUUCUAUGCAGCUGUUUGGUCUGUCAGUGGCAGCUGCCGCAAAACAGCGGCUUUCUGCCGUAAAAACAGUGGCAGCAACUGCCGCAAAGCAGCAGCAGCUGCCGUGGCGAGUCUGCCUCAGGUCUGUUAUUGAGGCGAUGGAGAGGAGGAGAGGAGAGAGGAGAGAGGAGUCAGGUCUGUCUUCUGAGCUGAACUGAGGAGAAGAGAAGAGGACAGAGAAACAUGGACCACCAGGAAGCCACUGGAGAGGGGCUGAAGAGACACAUGUGGCUCUGGAGCCGCAGGUUGCUGACCCCUGAGUUAGGUGUUAAACUCCCCUCCUCUUGUCCUUGUAGCAGAGGGAGAAGAGCUACUACCAGUCUGUAGCCUUGGGACCAGUCAGCCCUGAAGGGGAGUAGAGAGCUACUAUUCAGAGCUAAGGGAGGUCACGACCUGCUGAGUGUAAAGUUCAGGUGAAUCUAGAGCUGGGCCUCACAGCCCGGCUGAGGGAGAAAGAAAAAGAUGUCAGAAGACGUUGUCAGAGGGACACAGAAUGCAGACAUCCAACACCUCAUAGAGAAAGUUGUCUUCCAGCUGCAUGGGAGCUACCCCAGAACCCAAGAGAGAAGAAACAAAAAAAAGGUGUGUUUCAACUACAACCUUUUCUUUAACUCAGAGGGUGACCACCUGCGCUGUGAGACGCUCACCUUCAACAACCCCACCAGAGAGUUCAGGAGGAAGCUGAUCAAAGCUGGAGCGGUGAGGCGGACUAAUACACUGGCUGGUUCACUGGACUGAUGGCUAAAUGACUAGACUCAACAGUAGCAGCAACCAUGUAAUCUACUGUAUACUCUCAAAUAUGCCUGGUUCAGUCUUCAGUCGAGGUAACGGUGGUUCAAGAGAGGGCUGAGGCUGCAACAAGAUCCAGUCCAGACUCCCCGAUACCCCCAACGAAGAAGAUCAAGACCUCCCAUGUGUCAGAGGAGGAUUUAAAGGUUGAUGUCUCAAUACCAGAGGGACAACCUUGUGUCUGACAGCCAGGUGGGACUUCUUUUACUCAGAUUUGACUGAGAGGCAGACUGGAUCAGUUUGAGCGGCAGGGGAAGAAGGGGAGGCGGCGAGCUAGUGAGAGAGUGGUGACCUUCUGUCCCAUAGCUGAGGCCCGAUAAUCUCACAUCAAAGUCUGAGCACCACAGAGACCUGACUGCAACAGGCCCUCACUCCCUGACUCUGUGGAAUAAAAGAGAUGUUUUCAAUCAGUGUGCUUUCUUCAGAUGAAACAUUUAAAAUUUGAACAGGCUGAGAAAGAUCAGUUUAACAACUUUUGGUCUUAAUGCUUUCAGAUAGUUUAGAAAACUUGUAUCUCAAUGUUGCAGAAAAUGCAUGGUGCUAUAACCAACAGUUGUUUUGAAUCACUUUAGAUUCUUCUUUUGAUUUAUGUGUUGUAAAAAUCAACAUUAGGAUACAAAGGAAUACUGUGUGAAUGUUUAUGUAUCUACUGUAUUGAACUUUUGAAAUAAAGUAUGAAAAAAAUAAAAGUUGUCAUUAAGUUGUAUGAGUAACAUAUAAGCCCCAUUGUUAAUAUUGUUUUUUUGUUUUUAUUCAUCUUUUUCUUUCCUUACAUGUUAUUUGUUGUACAAUUUAUUUUAUUUUUGUAUUAUUUUUAUACUGUAAAAUAUAUUUGCAGAAUUGUUUAUGUAUUUACUGUAUUAAAUUUUUGAAAUAAAGUUUGAAAAAAUAAAAGUUGUUAUCAAGUUGUAUGAGUAACAUAUAAGCCCCAUUGUUAAUGUUGUGAUUUUGUUUUUAUUCAUCUUUU
RNA transcript from Sebastes umbrosus (honeycomb rockfish), 1830 nucleotides. It is a transcript of the gene named protein ENL-like, with no coding region annotated. The transcript is spliced from 6 exons. The record is from RefSeq and is a predicted model, not a curated record. Lineage: Eukaryota; Metazoa; Chordata; Actinopteri; Perciformes; Sebastidae.